AAGGGUUUAUGACCAGACUUUGGCCUUGCGGAUCAUCCAGUGUUCUCACUGGUGCACUUCGCUUGGUUGAGGCCAGCAUCGAUUUCUUCAGCGGGACAAAGACUUGGGGAAUGUGACUCCUCCGGGAGUGUUAUAGCCCCUUGUGUAAUACCGCUGGAGGGAUCGAGGUCCGCGCUCUGCAAGGAUGCUGGCAUAAUGGUCAUCAGCCA
RNAcentral lists this ribosomal RNA (209 nucleotides) under Neoidriella sp. RNAcentral's name for it is "partial large subunit ribosomal RNA". The record is from RNAcentral. Lineage: Eukaryota; Fungi; Ascomycota; Sordariomycetes; Xylariales.